Molecule: ribosomal RNA, 497 nt
Filed under: uncultured bacterium
Lineage: Bacteria
Description: partial 16S ribosomal RNA
Rfam family: Bacterial small subunit ribosomal RNA
Source: RNAcentral
GAUGAACGCUGGCGGCGUGCCUAAUACAUGCAAGUCGAGCGAACAGACGAGGAGCUUGCUCCUCUGACGUUAGCGGCGGACGGGUGAGUAACACGUGGAUAACCUACCUAUAAGACUGGGAUAACUUUGGGAAACCGGAGCUAAUACCGGAUAAUAUAUUGAACCGCAUGGUUCAAUAGUGAAAGACGGUUUUGCUGUCACUUAUAGAUGGAUCCGCGCCGCAUUAGCUAGUUGGUAAGGUAACGGCUUACCAAGGCGACGAUGCGUAGCCGACCUGAGAGGAUGAUCGGCCACACGGGAACGGAGACACGGCCCAGACUCCUAGGGGAGGCAGCAGUGGGGAAUCUUCCGCAAUGGGCGAAAGCCUGAGGGAGCCACGCCGCGUGGGUGAAGAAGGUCUUCGGGUCGUAAACCUCUGUUAUUGGGAAAGAAAAAAUGUAUAUUAAAAUCUCCCUGUUUUGACGGUACCUAAAGAAAAAGCACCGGCUAACUACGUG